RNAcentral lists this long non-coding RNA (876 nucleotides) under Drosophila guanche. The record is from RNAcentral. Lineage: Eukaryota; Metazoa; Arthropoda; Insecta; Diptera; Drosophilidae.
AUAAAGUUAGAUAAAUUAUGCUGACAGAAUCAAAGCUUAGCUCAGCAAAGCUUAGCUGUUAAAUCAGCUGAUUGGGUGAAGCUUUCGUUGAUGACAGCUGUCAACAUAAGCUUUUAGAACACGGUUUUAGCACUUCCGAUCGCAUUUAAACGGGACGAGCCCCAGAAAAAUUCUUCUUUUCGUCUAUCUAAAAUUCUGAUCGGUUCGUGACCCGUCCGAUAGUGAGUUAAUUUUUUUCCGACCAACCACGUGUGUGUGAAAAAGUAAAAAUAAACGAACGCCGUGCAGUGAAUAUAAAUAUCAGUGAAUUUAAAUUUCACCUGGCCUAGAGCCAUCCCAACGUUUUUGGGCGAGCGUGCAAUCCACGCAAUCCCAAACUUUUUGGACUGGCGUUCAACCCACGCCAUCCACGACAGAAGAGAAAUAUAAUUAUCCACGGAAAUCCCGGAAAGAUUGGUAGGUCCAAUGUGGGAGAGACCCGAACAAAGGUUCUUAUAAUAGCUCUUGGCUGUAUUCCUUCCCCCCCCCCACAGGGCUUUGCUACGCUUUCCCCCCACACUCAGCCAGAGCAGCAGCGCAUUGACGUUUUGUUGGCAAUACGCUGAGGGGUGGGGAAUUUUUCUUGGGAGACCGGUGGAAGCCCGGCUCCAGAACCUAUGUAACACCAUAGCCAUGAUGUAACUUCACAAUGACCAUGACGUAACCUUGCAGUAACCUCUGCGCAGGCGCCACAGCCGACAGUGUCGUACCGCUAAGAGGGCCACCAUUAUAUCUUAGGCUGCAAUCAAAGCCUAAAGCACUGUCUUUUAUUUUAAUAAUUAAUUAAAUUUAAAUUUUGUUAAUGCUAAUACUCUUUUCUAUUAUUAUAUUCUAUUU